GUCUGCAAAUGAUCAUCGGUUCUUGCGUUGCGUCUUUGAGUGACCAUCGGUUUGCUUUUGUGACUGAAACCUGAUCUGUGAAACCCGAUUGUGUGAGAAAUCGAUUUGUGAAAACUGAAGAGUGAAGACUUAAAAAGAAGAAAGCGAGGCUGUGAAGAUUUAAGGGUGAAAACUGGAGAAGAACCAAAGAAGAGAGUGAAGCGUGAGGCUGCAAAAUCUGAAAUGUGAGUAAAAGGCUGUCUAUU
RNAcentral lists this long non-coding RNA (245 nucleotides) under Citrus maxima (pomelo). RNAcentral's name for it is "long non-coding RNA (CMAX_LNC000685)". The record is from RNAcentral. Lineage: Eukaryota; Viridiplantae; Streptophyta; Magnoliopsida; Sapindales; Rutaceae.